RNAcentral lists this ribosomal RNA (253 nucleotides) under uncultured bacterium. RNAcentral describes it as "partial 16S ribosomal RNA". It matches the Rfam family "Bacterial small subunit ribosomal RNA", at positions 524 to 776 of the family's 1533-position model. The record is from RNAcentral.
UACGUAGGGUGCAAUCGUUGUCCGGAAUUAUUGGGCGUAAAGAGCUCGUAGGCGGUUUGUCGCGUCUGCUGUGAAAUCCCGAGGCUCAACCUCGGGCCUGCAGUGGGUACGGGCAGACUAGAGUGCGGUAGGGGAGAUUGGAAUUCCUGGUGUAGCGGUGGAAUGCGCAGAUAUCAGGAGGAACACCGAUGGCGAAGGCAGAUCUCUGGGCCGUAACUGACGCUGAGGAGCGAAAGCGUGGGGAGCAAACAGG